GGAGAUCACCAAAGUGUCUCUUAGAUUCAGAGGAAGAAGAUGAAAAAUCAGAUGAAGCCCCAGUAUUAAAAUCUUGGGGAUCUCUGAUGGACCUUCUAUAUGUAAAGCAGGAGGCAGAAGGAAAUCCAUCAGUAAAAGAAUGGAGAUCAGAGAUGUGUCUCCUACAUUCAGAGGAGAAAGAUAAAAAAUCAAGUGUAAUUAUAUCUAUAAUUAUAUAUACAAGGUAUAUCCACAAUG
Molecule: long non-coding RNA, 237 nt
Organism: Xenopus tropicalis (tropical clawed frog)
Lineage: Eukaryota; Metazoa; Chordata; Amphibia; Anura; Pipidae
Exons: 3
Source: RefSeq, a predicted model, not a curated record